Molecule: long non-coding RNA, 810 nt
Filed under: Homo sapiens (human)
Lineage: Eukaryota; Metazoa; Chordata; Mammalia; Primates; Hominidae
Description: HSALNT0401772
Source: RNAcentral
AGUGCUGGCGCAAGUCGUCUUGCGCCAGGCGACUGGGUCUGAGGAGGCAGGAGUUAUUCAUUCCCUUAAGCUUUCAGGCCGGGGGGAGAAUCUUUCAGGUGGUAGCUGCAAGAACUCUUAGUAUGUUGACCUCACCUCUGCCUUCCACAUACCACUACCAGUGAGGAAUUAGGAAUGCAUGAGAAGAGUGUCCAAGAAGAGUGUCCUCAUUCAUGCAAGGCUUAAGAGAGAAUGCAGGUCAACAUCACCAUGUCAAUCAGAGAAUACUUCUGUUGGGUUGAAUGACUCUCUGCCCCCAGGUGCAGAUGCUGAGAGCACUUUCUAGUCAAGUCCUGCAUGUUCAUUUCUGUCUCAAGUCAGCUUCUCUGAGAAUCCAAUUUAUAAAAAUAUAUUUGUGAAUGUAUAAGUAAAGUGACUUGGAUUUUGUCUACGUACAAGGACUUCUAUGCCUGCAUAAAACAGCUUUCAGAGUGACUAACCAUACCAGUUUGACCAAGACUGUAUUGGCUGCAGCACUUAAAAGCUCACAUCCCGGAAAUCCUUUGGUCCUCGGUGAAUUGGGAUGGUUGGUUACCCUAUUACUGAUGAUUGUAAUUCUCAGCGUAGUUUGGAACCAGCAGCAGCAGCAGCUCCCCAGACCUACUGAAUCAGAAUCUACAUUUUGAUAAGAGCCCAGGGUGACUCCAUGUACGUGAAAAAGUUUGAGAAGUCCUUAGACCUACAGUUCACAGCUUCUCCUUCUUUCUUAUUCAACUGAAUUGCAGUGGGACCUGAGUAUGGUUAAAAUAAAUGAAUAAAAACACAAAUCAA